This 171-nucleotide unclassified non-coding RNA is filed under the name uncultured fungus. Its description in RNAcentral is "sequence contains ITS1". The record is from RNAcentral. Lineage: Eukaryota; Fungi.
UUGAUUCAUUUGUUUUUUGCCUUUCGGCCACUCAGAUAAUACUGUAAAAACUAAGAGUUUGAUACCCCCGGCGACGCCGGAGCGCCGCCGAAGCAACAAGUGGUAAGUUCACAUAGGGUUGGGAGUUGAAUAAACUCGAUAAUGAUCCCUCCGCUGGUUCACCAACGGAGA